CGUGUAGGCGGUUGGGUAAGUGGAAUGUGAAAUGCCCCGGCUCACCCGGGGACCGGCAUCCCAAACUGCCCGACUUGAGUAUGGGAGAGGAUGAGGGAAUUCCUGGUGUAGCGGUGAAAUGCGUAGAUAUCAGGAGGAACACCGGUGGCGAAGGCGCUCAUCUGGCCCAAUACUGACGCUGAGGCGCGAAAGCUAGGGGAGCAAACGGGAUUAGAUACCCCGGUAGUCCUAGCCGUAAACGGUGAUCACUAGGUGUUGGAGGCAUCGACCCCUCCAGUGCCGCAGCUAACGCAUUAAGUGAUCCGCCUGGGGAGUACGGCCGCAAGGUUGAA
Molecule: ribosomal RNA, 332 nt
Filed under: uncultured bacterium
Lineage: Bacteria
Description: bacterial SSU rRNA
Rfam family: Bacterial small subunit ribosomal RNA
Source: RNAcentral